GAUGAACGCUGGCGGCGUGCCUAAUACAUGCAAGUCGAGCGAACAGACGAGGAGCUUGCUCCUCUGACGUUAGCGGCGGACGGGUGAGUAACACGUGGAUAACCUACCUAUAAGACUGGGAUAACUUCGGGAAACCGGAGCUAAUACCGGAUAAUAUAUUGAACCGCAUGGUUCAAUAGUGAAAGACGGUUUUGCUGUCACUUAUAGAUGGAUCCGCGCCGCAUUAGCUAGUUGGUAAGGUAAAGGCUUACCAAGGCAACGAUGCGUAGCCGACCUGAGAGGGGGAUCGGCCACACUGGAACUGAGACGCGGUCCAGACUCCUACGGGAGGCAGCAGUAGGGAAUCUUCCGCAAUGGGCGAAAGCUUGACGGAGCAACGCCGCGUGAGUGAUGAAGGUCUUCGGAUCGUAAAACUCUGUUAUUAGGGAAGAACAAAUGUGUAAGUAACUAUGCACGUCUUGACGGUACCUAAUCAGAAAGCCACGGCUAACUACGUG
RNAcentral lists this ribosomal RNA (497 nucleotides) under uncultured bacterium. RNAcentral's name for it is "partial 16S ribosomal RNA". It matches the Rfam family "Bacterial small subunit ribosomal RNA", at positions 28 to 507 of the family's 1533-position model. The record is from RNAcentral.